RNAcentral lists this ribosomal RNA (497 nucleotides) under uncultured bacterium. Its description in RNAcentral is "partial 16S ribosomal RNA". It matches the Rfam family "Bacterial small subunit ribosomal RNA", at positions 28 to 507 of the family's 1533-position model. The record is from RNAcentral.
GAUGAACGCUGGCGGCGUGCCUAAUACAUGCAAGUCGAGCGGAAAGAUGAGGAGCUUGCUCCUCUGACGUUAGCGGCGGACGGGUGAGUAACACGUGGGUAACCUACCUAUCAGACUGGGAUACCUUCGGGAAACCGGAGCUAAUACCGGAUAAUCUCUUGAACCGCAUGGUUCAAUAGUGAAUGACGGUUUUGCUGUCACUUAUAGAUGUAUCCGCGCCGCGUUAGCUAGUUGGUAAGGUAACGGCUUACCAAGGCACCGAUGCGUAGCAGACCUGAGAGGGUGAUCCGCCACACUGGAACGGAGACACGGUCCAGACUCCUACGGGAGGCAGGAGUAGGGAAUCUUCCGGAAUGGGCGAAAGCCUGACGAAGCAACGCCGCGUGAGGGAGGAAGGCCUUCGGAUCGUAAAACUCUGUUAUUUGGUAAGAACCAAUGUGUAAGGAACUAUGGUCUUUGUGACGGUACCUAAUCAGAAAGCCCCGGCUAACUACGUG